This 362-nucleotide long non-coding RNA is filed under the name Mytilus galloprovincialis (Mediterranean mussel). The record is from RNAcentral. Lineage: Eukaryota; Metazoa; Mollusca; Bivalvia; Mytilida; Mytilidae.
UUUAAUGGCAUCCUAUAUUAAAAUGCAUUUACGUUUGAUAACUGUAUAUUGAUUUGGGGUAUGAUCUACAUAUCAUAUAUAAAUAUGCUUUUGAGAAUCCUACAUUAUUAAUGGUCAAUUAUUAUAUUAAAUUAAAUCAAUUUAUUUGAAAGUACACCUUUCAAAUAAGUUCCGAAAUGAACCCCGGUAAUUUGUCUCCUGAUUUGAUCUUCAAUAAUGUUUUGCACCAAACGAUGUCAAUUCAUAUAUAAAAACUUAAGGGUAGCUGGUAUAUUUAUCAUGAAUUAUGAGUAAUGAUGAGUUAAUGCUUAUAUAAGCGUGGGUCAUAUUUUUAAAUAUGUAUAUAAGUAUAGGUCAUUCUU